This 139-nucleotide small nucleolar RNA is filed under the name Triticum aestivum (bread wheat). RNAcentral's name for it is "Small nucleolar RNA Z247". It matches the Rfam family "Small nucleolar RNA Z247". Rfam says of the family: Z247 is a member of the C/D class of snoRNA which contain the C (UGAUGA) and D (CUGA) box motifs. Most of the members of the box C/D family function in directing site-specific 2'-O-methylation of substrate RNAs. The record is from Rfam by way of RNAcentral. Lineage: Eukaryota; Viridiplantae; Streptophyta; Magnoliopsida; Poales; Poaceae.
CCUCUCGGAGACGACGAGCUCAUAUCCUACAUCCUCGCCGGCUUGGACAUGUAGUAUAAGCCUCUCGUCUCUGCCCUCGACGCCCGUAGCUCGCCUGUCACCCUUGACGAACUAUAUGCUCAGAUGAGUAACUUUGACC